Hippocampus zosterae (dwarf seahorse) is the source of this 424-nucleotide long non-coding RNA. RefSeq lists it as uncharacterized. The record is from RefSeq and is a predicted model, not a curated record. Lineage: Eukaryota; Metazoa; Chordata; Actinopteri; Syngnathiformes; Syngnathidae. The transcript has 2 exons.
CCACCCAAUCUCUAUAAUCCUAAAACCAGAUUAAGGCCUAACUUCUUAUUGCCAGUGAAUUAAGUGACACUAAUGCCUAACUGCUGUCAGUUUAUGCAAUUUGGUUUUAUUUCAUUGGGACAGUGCACAUAAAUCAACAAAUUGAGGAAUAAGCGGUGAAACUGGGUAAUCUUUUACAAGUGAACCCAGUCUGCCAAACCUGCAAACGAAAUUUUCCAAUGUAAAAUAUGGACAAAUGGAAGCUGUACUACCCCAAGUGACACAUUCAGCAGAAGUCAUUUGCAUGCUGAUGGAAUUACACGAAGACUCAAGUGUUCAACCAUUGGAGAAGUGAGGAUGACAGAUGUGGAAAAAGAAGAUCAAGACCCUCAUCCAGGCCAAAACUGGACUUAACUGAAUAAAGCCAAAGUUGUCUCUCACAAAC